This 447-nucleotide ribosomal RNA is filed under the name uncultured bacterium. Its description in RNAcentral is "bacterial SSU rRNA". It matches the Rfam family "Bacterial small subunit ribosomal RNA", at positions 355 to 825 of the family's 1533-position model. The record is from RNAcentral.
UGGGGAAUUUUGGGCAAUGGGGGCAAGCCUGAUCCAGCCAUGCCGCGUGGAUGAUGAAGGCCUUAGGGUUGUAAAGUCCUUUCGGCGGGGAAGAUAAUGACGGUACCCGCAGAAGAAGCCCCGGCUAACUUCGUGCCAGCAGCCGCGGUAAUACGAAGGGGGCUAGCGUUGCUCGGAAUCACUGGGCGUAAAGCGCACGUAGGCGGCUUUUUAAGUCAGGGGUGAAAUCCUGGAGCUCAACUCCAGAACUGCCUUUGAUACUGAGAAGCUUGAGUCCGGGAGAGGUGAGUGGAACUGCGAGUGUAGAGGUGAAAUUCGUAGAUAUUCGCAAGAACACCAGUGGCGAAGGCGGCUCACUGGCCCGGUACUGACGCUGAGGUGCGAAAGCGUGGGGAGCAAACAGGAUUAGAUACCCUUGUAGUCCCUGAGCGGGCUGGCAAGGCGCAU